GGUAAUGCCGGAUGCUCCAGUUGAUCGCAUGGUCUUCUGGGAAAGCUUUCGCGGUAUGGGAUGGGGUCGCGUCCUAUCAGCUUGACGGCGGGGUAACGGCCCACCGUGGCUUCGACGGGUAGCCGGCCUGAGAGGGCGACCGGCCACAUUGGGACUGAGAUACGGCCCAGACUCCUACGGGAGGCAGCAGUGGGGAAUAUUGCACAAUGGGCGCAAGCCUGAUGCAGCGACGCCGCGUGAGGGAUGGAGGCCUUCGGGUUGUAAACCUCUUUUAUCGGGGAGCAAGCGAGAGUGAGUUUACCCGUUGAAUAAGCACCGGCUAACUACGUGCCAGCAGCCGCGGUAAUACGUAGGGUGCAAGCGUUAUCCGGAAUUAUUGGGCGUAAAGGGCUCGUAGGCGGUUCGUCGCGUCCGGUGUGAAAGUCCAUCGCUUAACGGUGGAUCCGCGCCGGGUACGGGCGGGCUUGAGUGCGGUAGGGGAGACUGGAAUUCCCGGUGUAACGGUGGAAUGUGUAGAUAUCGGGAAGAACACCA
Molecule: ribosomal RNA, 534 nt
Filed under: Bifidobacterium longum subsp. infantis
Lineage: Bacteria; Bacillati; Actinomycetota; Actinomycetes; Bifidobacteriales; Bifidobacteriaceae
Description: bacterial SSU rRNA
Rfam family: Bacterial small subunit ribosomal RNA
Source: RNAcentral